This 292-nucleotide ribosomal RNA is filed under the name uncultured prokaryote. RNAcentral describes it as "partial 16S ribosomal RNA". It matches the Rfam family "Bacterial small subunit ribosomal RNA", at positions 505 to 796 of the family's 1533-position model. The record is from RNAcentral.
GUGUCAGCCGCCGCGGUAAUACGGAGGGUGCGAGCGUUAAUCGGAAUUACUGGGCGUAAAGCGCGCGUAGGCGGUUUACUCAGUCAGAUGUGAAAGCCCUGGGCUUAACCUGGGAACUGCAUUUGAUACUGGUAGGCUAGAGUUUGGUAGAGGGAAGUGGAAUUCCGGGUGUAGCGGUGAAAUGCGUAGAUAUCCGGAGGAACACCAGUGGCGAAGGCGACUUCCUGGACCAAAACUGACGCUGAGGUGCGAAAGCGUGGGGAGCAAACAGGAUUAGAUACCCCCGUAGUCC